Molecule: ribosomal RNA, 490 nt
Filed under: uncultured bacterium
Lineage: Bacteria
Description: partial 16S ribosomal RNA
Rfam family: Bacterial small subunit ribosomal RNA
Source: RNAcentral
AUUGAACGCUGGCGGCAGGCCUAACACAUGCAAGUCGAACGGUAACAGGAAGAAGCUUGCUUCUUUGCUGACGAGUGGCGGACGGGUGAGGAAUGUCUGGGAAACUGCCUGAUGGAGGGGGAUAACUACUGGAAACGGUAGCUAAUACCGCAUAACGUGGCAAGACCAAAAAGGGGGACCUUCGGGCCUCUUGCCAUGGGAUGUGCCCAGAUUGAUUUAGAUUGUAGGUGGGGUAACGGCUCACCUAGGCGACGAUCCGUAGCUGGUGUGUGAGGAUGACGAGCCCCCCUAGAACUGAGACGCGACCCAGACUCCUACGGGAGGCAGCAGUGCGGAGUGUUGCACAAUGGGCGCAGGUAUGAUGCAGCCCUGCCACGUGUAUGAAGAAGGCCUUCGGGUUGUAGAGUACUUUCAGUGGGGAGGAAGGAAGUAAAGUUAAUCCCUUUGCUAAUUGACGUUACCAGAAGAAGAAGCACCGGCUAACUCCGUG